This 272-nucleotide ribosomal RNA is filed under the name Vibrio parahaemolyticus. RNAcentral describes it as "partial 23S ribosomal RNA". It matches the Rfam family "Bacterial large subunit ribosomal RNA", at positions 1411 to 1683 of the family's 2925-position model. The record is from RNAcentral. Lineage: Bacteria; Pseudomonadati; Pseudomonadota; Gammaproteobacteria; Vibrionales; Vibrionaceae.
GUAGUCGAUGGGAAACGGGUUAAUAUUCCCGUACUUCUUACAAUUGCGAUGGGGGGACGGAGAAGGCUAGGUGGGCCUGGCGACGGUUGUCCAGGUUCAAGUGCGUAGGCUUAAGAGUUAGGUAAAUCCGGCUCUUUUUAAGGCUGAGACACGACGUCGAGCACCUACGGGUGUGAAGUCAUUGAUGCCAUGCUUCCAGGAAAAGCCUCUAAGCUUCAGAUUGUAAGGAAUCGUACCCCAAACCGACACAGGUGGUCGGGUAGAGAAUACCA